RNAcentral lists this ribosomal RNA (761 nucleotides) under uncultured Lactobacillus sp. Its description in RNAcentral is "bacterial SSU rRNA". It matches the Rfam family "Bacterial small subunit ribosomal RNA", at positions 62 to 779 of the family's 1533-position model. Lineage: Bacteria; Bacillati; Bacillota; Bacilli; Lactobacillales; Lactobacillaceae. The record is from RNAcentral.
UCGAGCGCACUGGCCCAACUGAUAUGACGUGCUUGCACUGAAUUGACGUUGGAUUACCAGUGAGCGGCGGACGGGUGAGUAACACGUGGGCAACCUGCCCUGAAGCGGGGGAUAACAUCUGGAAACAGGUGCUAAUACCGCAUAACAACGAAAACCACAUGGUUUUCGUUUCAAAGAUGGUUUCGGCUAUCACUUCAGGAUGGGCCCGCGGUGCAUUAGCUAGUUGGUAAGGUAACGGCUUACCAAGGCGAUGAUGCAUAGCCAAGUUGAGAGACUGAUCGGCCACAAUGGAACUGAGACACGGUCCAUACUCCUACGGGAGGCAGCAGUAGGGAAUCUUCCACAAUGGGCGCAAGCCUGAUGGAGCAACACCGCGUGAGUGAAGAAGGGUUUCGGCUCGUAAAGCUCUGUUGUUGGAGAAGAACGUGCGUGAGAGUAACUGUUCACGCAGUGACGGUAUCCAACCAGAAAGUCACGGCUAACUACGUGCCAGCAGCCGCGGUAAUACGUAGGUGGCAAGCGUUAUCCGGAUUUAUUGGGCGUAAAGCGAGCGCAGGCGGUUGCUUAGGUCUGAUGUGAAAGCCUUCGGCUUAACCGAAGAAGUGCAUCGGAAACCGGGCGACUUGAGUGCAGAAGAGGACAGUGGAACUCCAGGUGUAGCGGUGGAAUGCGUAGAUAUAUGGAAGAACACCAGCGGCGAAGGCGGCUGUCUGGUCUGCAACUGACGCUGAGGCUCGAAAGCAUGGGUAGCGAACAGGAUU